RNAcentral lists this ribosomal RNA (406 nucleotides) under uncultured bacterium. Its description in RNAcentral is "partial 16S ribosomal RNA". It matches the Rfam family "Bacterial small subunit ribosomal RNA", at positions 30 to 526 of the family's 1533-position model. The record is from RNAcentral.
AUUGAACGCUGGCGGCAGGCCUAACACAUGCAAGUCGAACGAGUGGCGGACGGGUGAGUAAUGUCUGGGAAACUGCCUGAUGGAGGGGGAUAACUACUGGAAACGGUAGCUAAUACCGCAUACCAUCGGAUGUGCCCAGAUGGGAUUAGCUAGUAGGUGGGGUAAAAGCUCACCUAGGAGACGAUCCCUAGCUGGUCUGAGAGGAAGACCAGCCACACUGGAACUGAGACACGGUCCAGACUCCUACGGGAGGCAGCAGUGGGGAAUAUUGCACAAUGGGCGCAAGCCUGAUGCAGCCAUGCCGGGGGUAUGAAGAAGGCCUUCGGGUUGUAAAGUACUUUCAGCGGGGAGGCGUUACCCGCAGAAGAAGCACCGGCUAACUCCGGGCCAGCAGCCGCGGUAAUAC